This 395-nucleotide ribosomal RNA is filed under the name uncultured bacterium. RNAcentral's name for it is "bacterial SSU rRNA". It matches the Rfam family "Bacterial small subunit ribosomal RNA", at positions 505 to 898 of the family's 1533-position model. The record is from RNAcentral.
GUGUCAGCAGCCGCGGUAAUACGGAGGGGGCAAGCGUUAUUCGGAAUCAUUGGGCGUAAAGGGCGCGUAGGCGGCUUGGCAAGUCAAAGGUGAAAUCCCUCGGCCCAACCGAGGAACUGCCUUUGAUACUGCCUCGCUCGAGGCCGGGAGAGGGUAGCGGAAUUCCCAGUGUAGCGGUGAAAUGCGUAGAUAUUGGGAGGAACACCAGUGGCGAAGGCGGCUACCUGGACCGGUUCUGACGCUGAUGCGCGAAAGCGUGGGGAGCAAACAGGAUUAGAUACCCUGGUAGUCCACGCCGUAAACGAUGGGUACUCGGUGUCGCGGGUAUCGACCCCUGCGGUGCCUUAGCUAACGCGUUAAGUACCCCGCCUGGGGAGUACGGUCGCAAGGCUGAA